UGAGAGUUUGAUCCUGGCUCAGGAUGAACGCUGGCGGCGUGCUUAACACAUGCAAGUCGAACGGAAAGGCCCUGCUUGCAGGGUGCUCGAGUGGCGAACGGGUGAGUAACACGUGGGUGAUCUGCCCCUGACUUUGGGAUAAGCCUGGGAAACUGGGUCUAAUACCGGAUAUGACCAUGGGAUGCAUGUUCCGUGGUGGAAAGCUUUUGCGGUUGGGGAUGGGCCCGCGGCCUAUCAGCUUGUUGGUGGGGUAAUGGCCUACCAAGGCGACGACGGGUAGCCGGCCUGAGAGGGUGAUCGGCCACACUGGGACUGAGACACGGCCCAGACUCCUACGGGAGGCAGCAGUGGGGAAUAUUGCACAAUGGGCGCAAGCCUGAUGCAGCGACGCCGCGUGAGGGAUGACGGCCUUCGGGUCGUAAACCUCUUUCAGCAGGGACGAAGCGCGAGUGACGGUACCUGCAGAAGAAGCACCGGCCAACUACGUGCCAGCAGCCGCGGUAAUACGUAGGGUGCGAGCGUUGUCCGGAAUUACUGGGCGUAAAGAGCUCGUAGGCGGUUUGUCGCGUCGUCUGUGAAAUUCUGCAGCUUAACUGCAGGCGUGCAGCGAUAGGGGCAGACUUGAGUACUACAGGGGAGACUGGAAUUCCUGGUGUAGCGGUGAAAUGCGCAGAUAUCAGGAGGAACACCGGUGGCGAAGGCGGGUCUCUGGG
This 713-nucleotide ribosomal RNA is filed under the name uncultured bacterium. RNAcentral's name for it is "bacterial SSU rRNA". It matches the Rfam family "Bacterial small subunit ribosomal RNA", at positions 1 to 733 of the family's 1533-position model. The record is from RNAcentral.